CUUUCCUGCAGGGUGUUCCAUUUGACUACUCGACUCCAGGGUAUUCUCCAUGGGGUCCUGUUGCAGAACAAUGUUAACUACAUCUGGCUGGAAAAGAUCAUCCCAACAGGACUAAAUCACGACCCUAAGCUCCCGGAGGAUCACCCAAGGAUGGCAAAAUGCCGUACACAUGAGAAUGACUCAUCGAUAAGAGGAUUAUUUUUGGCGAAAUACUAUUUUUAUUUUAAUUUUUUUUUUUGCUUUUUAGUAUAGAAAACACAUAUAUUCUUAUAUAUCCUUUUUUUGGAUAGUGAUGACAUUUUUGUCCAAUGCAA
This is a long non-coding RNA of Triticum dicoccoides, 314 nucleotides long. RefSeq lists it as uncharacterized. The record is from RefSeq and is a predicted model, not a curated record. Lineage: Eukaryota; Viridiplantae; Streptophyta; Magnoliopsida; Poales; Poaceae. The transcript is spliced from 3 exons.